UAGGGAAUCUUCCACAAUGGACGAAAGUCUGGAUGGAGCAACGCCGCGUGAGUGAAGAAGGGUUUCGGCUCGUAAAGCUCUGUUGGUAGUGAAGAAAGAUAGAGGUAGUAACUGGCCUUUAUUUGACGGUAAUUACUUAGAAAGUCACGGCUAACUACGUGCC
This 163-nucleotide ribosomal RNA is filed under the name uncultured bacterium. Its description in RNAcentral is "partial 16S ribosomal RNA". It matches the Rfam family "Bacterial small subunit ribosomal RNA", at positions 355 to 509 of the family's 1533-position model. The record is from RNAcentral.